This 76-nucleotide transfer RNA is filed under the name Salmonella sp. FORC89. RNAcentral's name for it is "tRNA-Glu". Lineage: Bacteria; Pseudomonadati; Pseudomonadota; Gammaproteobacteria; Enterobacterales; Enterobacteriaceae. The record is from RNAcentral.
UGCGCAACCGCAGGUGGAAUCGAUGUACGCGCCUCAGUGGCGGGCAACCGGCGCGAGCGAGGGGCUGCUGAUUGUG